GCUUACGACCAUACCAGCCUGNNUACGCCCGAUCUCGUCCGAUCUCGGAAGCUAAGCAGGGUCGGGCCUGGUUAGUACUUGGAUGGGAGACCGCCUGGGAAUACCAGGUGCUGUAAGCAU
This 120-nucleotide ribosomal RNA is filed under the name Plectorhinchus mediterraneus (rubberlip grunt). The record is from RNAcentral. Lineage: Eukaryota; Metazoa; Chordata; Actinopteri; Lutjaniformes; Haemulidae.